RNAcentral lists this ribosomal RNA (429 nucleotides) under Bacillota bacterium. RNAcentral describes it as "Firmicutes bacterium partial 16S ribosomal RNA". It matches the Rfam family "Bacterial small subunit ribosomal RNA", at positions 355 to 776 of the family's 1533-position model. The record is from RNAcentral. Lineage: Bacteria; Bacillati; Bacillota.
UAGGGAAUCUUCCGCAAUGGGCGAAAGCCUGACGGAGCAACGCCGCGUGAGUGAUGAAGGGUUUCGGCUCGUAAAACUCUGUUAUUAGGGAAGAACAAAUGUGUAAGUAACUGUGCACAUCUUGACGGUACCUAAUCAGAAAGCCACGGCUAACUACGUGCCAGCAGCCGCGGUAAUACGUAGGUGGCAAGCGUUAUCCGGAAUUAUUGGGCGUAAAGCGCGCGUAGGCGGUUUCUUAAGUCUGAUGUGAAAGCCCACGGCUCAACCGUGGAGGGUCAUUGGAAACUGGGGAACUUGAGUGCAGAAGAGGAAAGUGGAAUUCCAUGUGUAGCGGUGAAAUGCGCAGAGAUAUGGAGGAACACCAGUGGCGAAGGCGACUUUCUGGUCUGUAACUGACGCUGAUGUGCGAAAGCGUGGGGAUCAAACAGG